AAAUUGAAGAGUUUGAUCAUGGCUCAGAUUGAACGCUGGCGGCAGGCCUAACACAUGCAAGUCGAACGGUAACAGGAAGAAGCUUGCUUCUUUGCUGACGAGUGGCGGACGGGUGAGUAAUGUCUGGGAAACUGCCUGAUGGAGGGGGAUAACUACUGGAAACGGUAGCUAAUACCGCAUAACGUCGCAAGACCAAAGAGGGGGACCU
Molecule: ribosomal RNA, 208 nt
Filed under: Escherichia coli
Lineage: Bacteria; Pseudomonadati; Pseudomonadota; Gammaproteobacteria; Enterobacterales; Enterobacteriaceae
Description: partial 16S ribosomal RNA
Rfam family: Bacterial small subunit ribosomal RNA
Source: RNAcentral